This 429-nucleotide ribosomal RNA is filed under the name Chloroflexota bacterium. RNAcentral describes it as "Chloroflexi bacterium partial 16S ribosomal RNA". It matches the Rfam family "Bacterial small subunit ribosomal RNA", at positions 355 to 776 of the family's 1533-position model. The record is from RNAcentral. Lineage: Bacteria; Bacillati; Chloroflexota.
UGGGGAAUAUUGCACAAUGGGCGCAAGCCUGAUGCCGCCAUGCCGCGUGUAUGAAGAAGGCCUUCGGGUUGUAAAGUACUUUCAGUCGGGAGGAAGGUGUCAAGGUUAAUAACCUUGGCAAUUGACGUUACCGACAGAAGAAGCACCGGCUAACUCCGUGCCAGCAGCCGCGGUAAUACGGAGGGUGCAAGCGUUAAUCGGAAUUACUGGGCGUAAAGCGCACGCAGGCGGUUGAUUGAGUCAGAUGUGAAAUCCCCGGGCUCAACCUGGGAAAUGCAUCUGAUACUGGCAAGCUUGAGUCUCGUAGAGGGGGGUAGAAUUCCAGGUGUAGCGGUGAAAUGCGUAGAGAUCUGGAGGAAUACCGGUGGCGAAGGCGGCCCCCUGGACGAAGACUGACGCUCAGGUGCGAAAGCGUGGGGAGCAAACAGG